RNAcentral lists this ribosomal RNA (482 nucleotides) under uncultured bacterium. RNAcentral's name for it is "partial 16S ribosomal RNA". It matches the Rfam family "Bacterial small subunit ribosomal RNA", at positions 28 to 523 of the family's 1533-position model. The record is from RNAcentral.
GACGAACGCUGGCGGCGUGCUUAACACAUGCAAGUCGAACGAUGAAGAAGAGCUUGCUCUUCGGAUUAGUGGCGAACGGGUGAGUAACACGUGACUAACCUGCCUCUUUCUCUGGGAUAACGCUCCGAAAGGAGUGCUAAUACCGGAUACUCACAUCGAGGCACAUGCCUUGAUGUGGAAAGCUUUUCGGAAAGGGAUGGAUUCGCGGCCUAUCAGCUUGUUGGUGAGGUAACGGCUCACCAAGGCGACGACGGGUAGCCGGCCUGAGAGGGCGACCGGCCACACUGGGACUGAGACACGGCCCAGACUCCUACGGGAGGCAGCAGUGGGGAAUAUUGCACAAUGGGCGAAAGCCUGAUGCAGCGACGCCGCGUGAGGGAUGAAGGUCUUCGGAUUGUAAACCUCUUUCAGUAGGGACGAAGCGAAAGUGACGGUACCUAAAGAAGAAGCACCGGCUAACUACGUGCCAGCAGCCGCGGUAA